AGAUUUCUGCCUUGUGCGUUAAGCACGGUCAUUAUAAAUCCAACACACAAUUAAAAGGGAACUGGGUCUCCGAGAAACGGAUUGCAGACCUCCCGGCAUACGCCGACUUUGUGCCGUGUAUGUACGGAUGUUGGGAGCGAGAAGUCAUUGGGCUGGUACCCACCUGCGAGAGCGGGUUUUAUCAACUGUGCGACGGCAAGGCGGUAAUAUU
RNAcentral lists this non-coding RNA (211 nucleotides) under Ruminococcus sp. RNAcentral describes it as "6S RNA". It matches the Rfam family "6S / SsrS RNA". From Rfam's summary of the family: E. coli 6S RNA was the first non coding RNA to be sequenced, but its function was unknown until recently. It consists of 184 nucleotides that fold into an extended hairpin structure with a large single-stranded internal bulge. The record is from RNAcentral. Lineage: Bacteria; Bacillati; Bacillota; Clostridia; Eubacteriales; Oscillospiraceae.